Molecule: ribosomal RNA, 466 nt
Filed under: uncultured bacterium
Lineage: Bacteria
Description: partial 16S ribosomal RNA
Rfam family: Bacterial small subunit ribosomal RNA
Source: RNAcentral
GAUGAACGCUGGCGGCGUGCUUAACACAUGCAAGUCGAACGAUGAAGCCCAGCUUGCUGGGUGGAUUAGUGGCGAACGGGUGAGUAACACGUGAGUAACCCGCCCUUAACUCUGGGAUAAGCCUGGGAAACUGGGUCUAAUACCGGAUAGGAGCGUCCACCGCAUGGUGGGUGUUGGAAAGAUUUAUCGGUUUUGGAUGGACUCGCGGCCUAUCAGCUUGUUGGUGAGGUAAAGGCUCACCAAGGCGACGACGGGUAGCCGGCCUGAGAGGGUGACCGGCCACACUGGGACUGAGACACGGCCCAGACUCCUACGGGAGGCAGCAGUGGGGAAUAUUGCACAAUGGGCGCAAGCCUGAUGCAGCGACGCCGCGUGAGGGAUGACGGCCUUCGGGUUGUAAACCUCUUUCAGUAGGGAAGAAGCGAAAGUGACGGUACCUGCAGAAGAAGCACCGGCUAACUACGUG